RNAcentral lists this ribosomal RNA (1135 nucleotides) under Pseudomonas sp. RNAcentral's name for it is "bacterial SSU rRNA". It matches the Rfam family "Bacterial small subunit ribosomal RNA", at positions 33 to 1160 of the family's 1533-position model. The record is from RNAcentral. Lineage: Bacteria; Pseudomonadati; Pseudomonadota; Gammaproteobacteria; Pseudomonadales; Pseudomonadaceae.
ACGCGGGGCGGCGGGCCUACAAUGCAAGUCGAGCGGAUGAGAAGAGCUUGCUCUUCGAUUCAGCGGCGGACGGGUGAGUAAUACCUAGGAAUCUGCCUGGUAGUGGGGGACAACGUUUCGAAAGGAACGCUAAUACCGCAUACGUCCUACGGGAGAAAGCAGGGGACCUUCGGGCCUUGCGCUAUCAGAUGAGCCUAGGUCGGAUUAGCUAGUUGGUGAGGUAAUGGCUCACCAAGGCUACGAUCCGUAACUGGUCUGAGAGGAUGAUCAGUCACACUGGAACUGAGACACGGUCCAGACUCCUACGGGAGGCAGCAGUGGGGAAUAUUGGACAAUGGGCGAAAGCCUGAUCCAGCCAUGCCGCGUGUGUGAAGAAGGUCUUCGGAUUGUAAAGCACUUUAAGUUGGGAGGAAGGGCAGUAAGCGAAUACCUUGCUGUUUUGACGUUACCGACAGAAUAAGCACCGGCUAACUCUGUGCCAGCAGCCGCGGUAAUACAGAGGGUGCAAGCGUUAAUCGGAAUUACUGGGCGUAAAGCGCGCGUAGGUGGUUCGUUAAGUUGGAUGUGAAAUCCCCGGGCUCAACCUGGGAACUGCAUCCAAAACUGGCGAGCUAGAGUAGGGCAGAGGGUGGUGGAAUUUCCUGUGUAGCGGUGAAAUGCGUAGAUAUAGGAAGGAACACCAGUGGCGAAGGCGACCACCUGGGCUCAUACUGACACUGAGGUGCGAAAGCGUGGGGAGCAAACAGGAUUAGAUACCCUGGUAGUCCACGCCGUAAACGAUGUCAACUAGCCGUUGGAAUCCUUGAGAUUUUAGUGGCGCAGCUAAACGCAUUAAGUUGACCGCCUGGGGGAGUACGGCCGCAAGGUUAAAACUCAAAUGAAUUGACGGGGGGCCCGCACAAGCGGUGGAGCAUGUGGGUUUAUUUCGAAGCAACGCGAAGACCUUUACCAGGGCUUGACAUCCAAUGAACUUUCCAGAGAUGGAUUGGUGCCUUCGGGAACAAUUGACACAGGUGCUGCAUGGCUGUCGUCAGCUCGUGUCGUGAGAAUGUGGGGUAAGUCCCGUAACGAGCGCAACCCUUGUCCUUAGUUACAGCACGUUAUGCGGGCUACUCCUAGGAGACUGCCGGUGACA